ACGGCAUGAUGGGGACAUUUCCUGAUGAGGUCCUUUAAUCUUUCCUAUGCCUCAUGGAACUAUUCACUAUCAUGAUGUGAAAAGCUAGUGAGCGCUCGCCUUAUCU
RNAcentral lists this small nucleolar RNA (106 nucleotides) under Cephalotus follicularis. RNAcentral describes it as "Plant small nucleolar RNA R71". It matches the Rfam family "Plant small nucleolar RNA R71". From Rfam's summary of the family: R71 is a member of the C/D box family of snoRNAs containing the C (UGAUGA) and D (CUGA) box motifs. Multiple nearly identical copies of this snoRNA have been identified in Arabidopsis, and it is thought to function as a 2'-O-ribose methylation guide for 18S ribosomal RNA. Lineage: Eukaryota; Viridiplantae; Streptophyta; Magnoliopsida; Oxalidales; Cephalotaceae. The record is from Rfam by way of RNAcentral.